This 497-nucleotide ribosomal RNA is filed under the name uncultured bacterium. Its description in RNAcentral is "partial 16S ribosomal RNA". It matches the Rfam family "Bacterial small subunit ribosomal RNA", at positions 28 to 507 of the family's 1533-position model. The record is from RNAcentral.
GAUGAACGCUGGCGGCGUGCCUAAUACAUGCAAGUCGAGCGAACGGACGAGGAGCUUGCGCCCCUGAUGUUAGCGGCGGACGGGAGAGUAACACGGGGAUAACCUACCUAUAAGACUGGGAUAACUAUGGGAAAUCGGAGCUAAUACCGGAUAAUUUAUCGAACUGCAUGGUUCAAAAGUGAAAGACGGUCUUUCGGUCACUAAUAGCUGGAUACGCUCUGCAUUAGUUAGUUGGCAAGGUAACGGCUUACCAAGGCAACGAUGCAUAGACGACCUGAAAGGGUGGUCGGCCACACUGGAUCUGAGACAGGGUCCCGACUCCUGCGGGAAGCAACAGUAGGGAAUCUUACGCGAUGGAGGAGAGGCUGACAUAGCAACACCGCCUGAGUGAUGAAGGUCUUCGGAUCGGAAAGCUCUGUUGUUAGGAGAGAACAAAUGUGUAAGUAACUGUGAACAUCUUGACAGUACCUAGAGAGAAAGCCACGGCUAACUACGUG